AGUCUAAUUGAGCCUUCGACCCAUUUUACCUGUCCUAAUCUAGUUUUUGAGUCGUUGGCUCGAGUCUCGCUCCACCUGUAUUAAAUUUACAACUUUGACUUCGAGGCCCAAAUGAAUGAAUAAAAAUAAAUAACUAAAUAAAUAAAGACAACAAUAAUAAAUGACUAAAUGAAUGAAUGAAAUAAAAACCGAGACUUUCAAGUCUCUUGGCCGCUUCAAAUGUGGACUUUAACCCAUUUCUUCUUCUUUCGUCUCCUUGGUUUUGGUAUGCAACAAGAUCAGUAUUUGUUCUUCCACUAGAGAUUAACUCGAUGAGUAAAAUGCAAUCGAAAGUUCAUGGUGAACUCAGACGUAACACAUUCACAUGCAUCCAUAAAUAAAGGGAAAAGGAUUAAGAAUCUGCAACUAGACCGUUUGGACUUGGUAUAACUAAUCAUACAUCAUCGUAAGCUGCAAAUAGCAAUUAAAAAGACUAUAUUCAUGCUCAAGGUGGUCCUAUAGUUUGACAGAAGACAUGAGAAAAAUUCAACAUUCAUUGUCACAUCCAGGCCAACAUUUCUUAAAUAAAUCUAACACAAAUAAAGAUAUCUUUGAUGACUAAAAUAAGGAGGAAACAGGAUCUCUAAUAUAGCAUUUACCCAAACAUAAAUAAACACAAGUUGAUGUAAUUUAAGAAGUUUUGAUCCAAAGAAACCUGGACAAUAAUUCUUUCAUAGCCCUAGUAAAAGAACCUUAAAUCUGGACAUUGAUACAAGCGUAAAGAGAACAAGGAUUACAAGUGAUACGAGUGCAAAGAGGGUAUAAGCACAAGCAGCCAUACUCGAACCAUAUCCAAGAAGAGGGAAGAGUGUGAUGACCUUUGCAAAAAAGUGGAAAACGGGUAUCGAGAUCUCAAGACCAUUCCCUAGGAGCCAAGCUCGGGAACUACGUCUUCAAGGCACAUUCAUGAAGAUGGAUGUGUUUGAGCAUGUAUUAAUUCGUCCAAGGGAGUGUAUGUGUUAAAGUAUGAAGACAUGCCUUGAUUGUCAUAAAAACACUACAAGGCAGCCCCAUUUCUACACUCCAAACCCACCUCCUUCAUUAAGGGUAAAGGUGUCAUUUCCCAUCUCUUUUGUAAUAGACUAUAAGUAGAACCCCUUAGUCUUAUUUCCUUAGUUAGCUUAUUUUUGGAAUGAAGAUUGUAACAUUGAAACAUCCUUUUCCUCUCAAGAAGAGAGUAGACCACCAACUUUGAACAUCAUAAGUGAAAGGUUCCACUUGUGAAAUGGCUAGAAAUGUGAGUGCUUGAGUGAAGCAAGUUCCUCUUGUGUUUGCUAAGAACUUGGUGCUUGUUAAUGUGAUUUGUAGAGUUUUUAGAGCUUGAUACACUCUUUAGUUGCUACAUUUCAUAUUCUCUUUGUGUGAAGUUAUCUAUCUUCUUUAUCUUUCAAGUUUGUGUUUGUUGUUUCCACUUGGUGUCUUAUAUGUCUAGAUUGUUUUUGUGAGUUUGUGGACUAUUUUGUGCUCUUGUAUAUACUGUUUGGUAUCAGAAAUUAAUUCUUUCAUAAUACAGCUUAACAAAACAGUUUUAAUCCCCCCAAAAAAAAACCCAAACUAGCUAAAGGCAGUGAUAAGGACAAAACAACAGGAUAGCGAAAUUUUUUGCGGAUAGGAGCAACAAGCUUAAGACUAAUGAUAACACCAUGCCACAGAAAGUCUGGUUUUUUGGUCUAUAAUAGUCCUUAUAGAUGAAGGCGAUCACUAGUAUUCCGUAAAACAUGAUCUUGCAAAACUUUAAAAGUUUUAGACCGCGAAAUCAAUACCUAAGUAGGAAGUGAUACGAAUGAUGCUCAAAGAAAAAGAGGGUAUAAACUUCAUCGAUUUUUGACAUUAAACAUAUAACAAGAGACUAAAUCUGUUCCCAGAUUUGGCAUUCUUCAACAUACAAUUACACUUCAAAAGCUUCAACAGAAAGAGUACAAUCUAUAGGCUAAAAACAAAGCGGUGGGGGGCAUUGUAUUUCUAUCCUUCUCUCCUUCCUGACAAACUCAAUAAUGAGUUUUUGACUGUUACAUGGUCAUCGGAGAAUCAUGGGAUUUUUCUAAUUUUACUGUUGGAUGUUUUCUCAUCAUCCUUUUGGCAUUUGAGAAGCCAAAGGACCUUAAGAGGUAGUCCUAUCGAUGACGCUAUCAGCUAAAUAGUUACAACAGCAUCCCUACACUAACAAUAGACAAGAGACAUCAUAUAUCCACUCCAAACAAGACAAAACGUCAAGCAGAAGUGUUAAGCAAGAAUCAAGACAUGAUUUUUUACCAUGAAAAAAGGCAAAGACAGUGCACAUGAUGAAGAUCCAGAUCGCAAACUACUUGAUAAUGUCAAGAUUACAUGACGAGCUACAAAAUUGGGAUAAGAAUGAUAGAAACCACACAUCAUAAUAUUCAAAUAGGAAAUAGCCUAGCGUAAUAACACAACUGAAUGUUCUUCUUUGCUAAAGAAAAAAAACUAUAGCCUUUAAGGCCUCUACAAUGAGCACACAACAUCACUACUAUUAUGAUCAUACAACAACCUCUACAGCCAGCCAUCCAAACCGACCUUCACUUUCAUCAUUCAAUCAAGACUACACAGCCCCCACAACAAACUUCAUGUUCAUCAUUCAAACAAACAACACAGCUUCGAUAAUAGACCUCAUGUUCAUCAUUCAAACAAAUAACCAUCGCUACAGAGAAAAGAGAUGAAGAAGAAACAUGCCGAUAAAAUUAAACGAGGAAUGAAGAUAUUUACCUCUCUCGGGGCAGCAAAACGGGAGAACGAGCUAGUUGUUGGAAUCUGCCACCACUGGAAAUCCACGUUAUCAACUUAAGGGCCUCUGAUUAAUCGACCAACUUCAGAAAGAAGAACGAAAGAGAAAAUUUUUACUAAAAAUAAACUACUUUGCUUUUAGAAUUUUGUGCCUCUCCUCUUUUCUCCCAACUAAAAUUUUUCCCGACCCCAGAUUUCUUCUUUUCCCCCUCUUUCAAACCAAAAAAUCCCUGAAAGAAGAUAAAAGACCCCUCAAAGCAGUGACCCCAAGGGUCUUUAUAUAGAACCCAAAUUAGGGGUUUUGGGGGGAAUUGAAAGAGAGGAUAUCUUUGGAUUUGCAAUUCAAAUUUUUUCCCUCCUGCUUAGGGUUUCACCAACAAAUGUACUCCUUUCCCCUUAUCCUCCACAGAUUCUCCAAGAAAAGACAAUAGAAAUUGGGGGGAAAAUGGAUCCUUCCGCCAAGAACCAACAAAAAUUUUCCAAAUACAUAUGAAUUCGUACAAGUAAUCCACGAUUCGCGGAGGUAUCCGUUAGAGGGAGACACCUAAGCAUGUUUAUAGAGGGUUCUCGAAUUUUCCUCGUAUGAAUUCGUAUGGAAAGGCACGUGACGAAGAAGAAAUAGAUGGGUUGGAGCUUGGGUCGGUGAGUUCUGAUGCCGAGUUAUGGAUUGACAGGUGCGGGUCACGAAAGAGGGGAAUCGGGUUGAUGGAUUCGUAUGAUGUUGCUUCUGGUGUUUAAGGCUAAGAAUGGAGUGUUGGUUUUUUGAAGAAGAAAAGGGAUGGGCCCGGGUCGGAUUAUGUGGAUUAGGCUUCGGGAGGUUAUUGUGUUGGGCCAUUUAUGGUUGAUUAUUGUUG
RNAcentral lists this long non-coding RNA (3632 nucleotides) under Capsicum annuum. RNAcentral's name for it is "long non-coding RNA (CANN_LNC007476)". The record is from RNAcentral. Lineage: Eukaryota; Viridiplantae; Streptophyta; Magnoliopsida; Solanales; Solanaceae.